Molecule: ribosomal RNA, 466 nt
Filed under: uncultured bacterium
Lineage: Bacteria
Description: partial 16S ribosomal RNA
Rfam family: Bacterial small subunit ribosomal RNA
Source: RNAcentral
GACGAACGCUGGCGGCGUGCCUAACACAUGCAAGUCGAACGGAAAGGCCCUGCUUGCUGGGUCCUCGAGUGGUGAACGGGUGGGUAAUACGUGGGUGAUCUGCCUUGCACUUCGGGAUAAGUUUGGGAAACUGGGACUAUUAUCGGACAGGAACUAUCUCUAGUGUGGUGGUUGGAAAGUUUUUUUGGUGUACGGUGAGGUCGGGGCCGAUCAGCUAUUUGGUGGGGUAAAGGCUUACCGAGGCGGCGAGGGGUAGCCGGCCUGAGAGGGUGGACGGUCACAAUGGACAUUAGAUACGGGACAGACUCCUGCGGGAGGCAGGAGGGGGGAAUAUUGAACAAUGGGCGCAAGGCUGAUGCAGGGACGCGGCGUGGGGGGUGAGGGCUUUAGGGUUGUAAGCUCCUAAGGCUAGUGACGAAGCUUUGUUGUGACGGUACCUAGAGAAGAAGCACCGGCUAACUACGUG